GGUAAAAUUUUUAUUUAAUUUUUUUGUCUGAUCAGCCUUGAAGCUAGAAUAAAGAUUUACAACUCUCUUCAAGAUUGCAACACAUCCCAGGCCCAAUUAGAUACACAAAUUCCAACACACGUCAGUAUCCAUUAUUCUUUUCAAGAUUGUUGCUUCCCCAGCCCAAUAAGGCACAGACAUUGAUAAAACAAACAAGGGCCGUAUGACACCCAUUUUGCGUCUUGUUAAAUUGUUAUUGGCC
RNAcentral lists this unclassified non-coding RNA (241 nucleotides) under Hevea brasiliensis (rubber tree). Lineage: Eukaryota; Viridiplantae; Streptophyta; Magnoliopsida; Malpighiales; Euphorbiaceae. The record is from RNAcentral.